UCCAGAGUGAUAACCUACUUGGCUGCUGCUUGCUGAACUCAUGCAUGGAUCUGGACUAGAAGAUGGGCAUGUAGAAAUAACCAUCCUUCACUGGCCACGUGAUGAUCCAGUACUAGAAGAUCACUCUUCUCAUACUCUGUUGAACAAGGUCAACAGGUGGAGAAUUACUAAAAAGAAACAUUAAGUAUAAAGAGGAUCCUGGAUAGCCUGACCUGAGAAGAUCCUUGCUGAGGACAGCCACAUGACCUAUGACAGUGAGUUCCUGUGUGAAACUACCACUCCCGGACGGCAACACGGCACUUGACGCCUGAACCAGUGUGUACCGACCGUACCUGGGUGGUGGCAGGCUCUUCGUACCCUCUGGUGCUGGGACUGCAAAGCCCCUCCGGCCUGUUCCCGAGAACGCGCAGCUCCCGGCAUCCUGUGGGCGUGUUCCCCCUUGACCCUGCGUACUGCGAGCCCUGGCACACGCACGACGUCCACAUCCGGGGCUCUUGCUAGCGGGAGGAAGAUGGCGGCGACCGCAACUGUGGUGGUUCCCGCCGAGUGGAUAAGGAACUGGGAGAAAUCGGGGAGAGGCGAGUUUUUGCGUUUAUGCCGGUUUCUCAGUGAAAGCAAAAGCUGUGACAGUUCCGCUUACAGAGAUUUUCAACAAGCUCUCUAUGAGUUGUCGUACUAUGUCGUUAAAGGACAUUUAAAGUAUGAGCAAGCAUCUAAUGUCCUUCAUGACAUUAGUGAAUUUCGUGAGGAUAUGCCAUUCAUUCUUGCUGAUGUAUUCUGCAUCUUAGAUAUUGAGACAAAUUGUUUAGAAGAAAAGAGCAAGAGAGACUAUUUUACACAGUUGGUAUUAGCAUGCUCCUAUUUAGUUUCAGACACAGUGCUAAAAGAACGCUUGGAUCCAGAAACAUUGGAAUCAUUAGGCCUGAUCAAACAAUCACAGCAGUUCAAUCAAAAGUCAGUUAAAAUCAAGACCAAACUGUUUUAUAAGCAGCAGAAAUUCAAUUUGUUAAGAGAAGAAAAUGAAGGUUAUGCCAAGCUGAUUGCUGAACUGGGACAAGAUUUUUCUGGAAAUAUUACUAGUGAGUUAAUUUUAGAGAUCCUCAAAUCAUUAAUAGGCUGCUUUAAUCUGGAUCCUAAUAGAGUUUUGGAUGUCAUUUUAGAAGUGUUUGAAUGCAGGCCAGAAUAUCAUGACUUCUUUAUAUCUUUAUUAGAAUCUUACUUGAGUAUGUGUGAACCACAAACACUGUGUCAUAUUCUUGGGUUCAAAUUCAACUUUUACCAGGAACCAAAUGGUGAGACUCCAUCAUCUUUAUACAGAGUUGCGGCAGAACUUCUGCAGUUUAAUCUUAUUGACUUAGAUGAUCUGUACGUACAUCUUCUUCCAACUGAUAACUGCAUUAUGAACGAGUAUAAACGAGAAAUUGUGGAAGCUAAGCAGAUUGUUAGAAAACUUACUAUGGUUAUACUGCCUUCUGACAAAACUGAUGACCGAGAGAAAGAAAAGAAAAAAGAUGAUAAAGUAGAGAAGGCACCUGAAAAUCAAAAACUUGGUUUGCUGGAAGCCUUGCUGAAGAUCGGUGAUUGGCAGCAUGCACAGAACAUCAUGGAUCAGAUGCCUCCGUACUAUGCAGCUUCACAUGAAGUAAUAGCCCUUGCAAUUUGCAGGCUUAUACACAUAACUAUUGAGCCUCUCUACCGAAGAGUUGGUGUUCCUAAAGGUGCUAAAGGCUCACUUGUUACUGCCUUACAAAACAAGAGAGCACCAAAGCAAGCAGAGAACUUUGAAGAUUUAAGGAGAGAUACAUUUAGUAUGUUCUGUUACCUUGGUCCUUACCUUUCUCAUGAUCCCAUUUUAUUUGCAAAACUUGUGCGCAUAGGAAAGUCAUUUAUGAAGGAGUUUCAGUCUGAGGGAAGUAAAAAAGAAGAUAAAGAGAAAAUGGAAGUUAUCUUUAGUUGUUUGCUUAGCAUAACUGACCAGGUACUACUUCCAUCUCUUUCUUUGAUGGACUGCAAUGCUUGUAUGUCUGAGGAACUAUGGGGAAUGUUUAAAACAUUUCCUUAUCAACAUAGAUAUCGCUUAUAUGGCCAAUGGAAGAAUGAUACUUACAAUAGCCAUCCACUUUUAGUAAAAGUUAAGGCUCAAACAAUAGACAGAGCCAAAUAUAUCAUGAAGCGUCUGACCAAAGAAAAUGUGAAGCCUUCAGGAAGACAGAUUGGGAAGUUGAGCCACAGCAAUCCAACCAUUUUGUUUGAUUAUAUCUUAUCACAAAUACAGAAGUAUGAUAACUUAAUAACACCUGUAGUAGACUCAUUGAAAUACCUCACUGCAUUGAAUUAUGAUGUCUUGGCCUAUUGUAUCAUUGAAGCUUUAGCUAACCCAGAAAAGGAAAGAAUGAAACAUGAUGAUACAACCAUCUCUAGCUGGCUUCAAAGUCUUGCUAGUUUCUGUGGUGCGGUUUUUCGUAAAUAUCCAAUUGAUCUUGCGGGUCUUCUUCAAUAUGUGGCCAAUCAGCUAAAGGCAGGGAAAAGUUUCGACCUGCUUAUAUUGAAAGAAGUGGUACAAAAAAUGUCAGGAAUAGAAAUUACAGAGGACAUGACAAUGCAUCAGUUAGAGGCUAUGACUGGUGGCGAACAGUUAAAAGCUGAGGGUGGUUAUUUUGGCCAGAUAAGAAAUACUAAAAAAUCCUCUCAGAGAUUAAAGGAUGCUUUACUUGACCAUGGUCUUGCUCUUCCUCUUUGUUUACUUAUGGCUCAGCAGAGGAAUGGAGUAAUCUUUCAAGAAGGAGGAGAGAAACAUUUGAAACUUAUAGGAAAGCUUUAUGACCAGUGCCAUGAUACUUUAGUACAGUUUGGGCGAUUUUUAGCGUCAAAUCUAAGCACAGAGGAUUAUAUAAAGCGAGUGCCUUCAAUUGAUGUGCUCUGCAAUGAAUUUCAUACACCCCAUGAUGCAGCAUUUUUUCUGUCUAGGCCAAUGUAUGCACACCAUAUUUCAUCAAAGUAUGAUGAACUUAAAAAGUCAGAAAAAGGAAGUAAACAGCAACAUAAAGUUCAUAAGUACAUUACAUCAUGUGAGAUGGUGAUGUCUCCGGUCCAUGAAGCAGUGGUGUCCUUACACAUUUCCAAGGUUUGGGAAGAUAUUAGCCCUCAGUUCUAUACCACAUUCUGGUCAUUAACAAUGUAUGACCUUGCAGUUCCACAUACCAGUUAUGAACGAGAAGUCAAUAAACUUAAAAUCCAGAUGAAAGCAAUUGAUGACAAUCAGGAAAUGCCUCCAAAUAAGAAGAAAAAAGAGAAGGAACGUUGUACUGCCCUUCAAGACAAGCUUCUUGAAGAAGAAAAGAAACAGAUGGAACAUGUACAGAGAGUUUUACAGAGACUGAAAUUGGAAAAGGACAACUGGCUGUUAGCAAAAUCAACCAAAAAUGAAACCAUCACAAAAUUUCUACAGAUGUGCAUAUUUCCUCGGUGCAUUUUUUCAGCAAUUGAUUCUGUUUACUGUGCUCAUUUUGUUGAAUUGGUACAUCAACAGAAGACACCAAAUUUCUCCACACUUCUUUGCUAUGAUCGUGUUUUCUCUGACAUAAUCUACAUGGUCGCUAGCUUUACUGAAAAUGAAGCUAGUCGAUAUGGGAGAUUUCUAUGCUAUAUGUUAGAGACUGUGACCAGGUGGCAUAGUGACAGAGCCACAUAUGAAAAGGAAUGUGGAAACUAUCCAGGAUUCCUUACUAUAUUACGAGCAACUGGAUUUGAUGGUGGAAAUAAAGCUGAUCAACUAGAUUAUGAAAAUUUUCGACAUGUUGUACACAAAUGGCAUUACAAACUAACCAAGGCAUCAGUACAUUGCCUUGAAACAGGCGAAUAUACUCACAUCAGGAAUAUCUUAAUUGUGCUAACAAAAAUACUUCCUUGGUAUCCAAAAGUUUUAAAUCUAGGUCAGGCUUUGGAAAGGAGAGUACAUAAAAUCUGCCAAGAAGAGAAAGAAAAGAAGCCAGAUCUUUAUGUACUAGCAAUGGUGUACUCUGGGCAGCUGAAAAAUAGGAAGGCACACAUGAUACCUGAAAAUGAGUUUCAUCACAAAGACCCUCCUCCAAGGAAUGCUGCUGCCACUGUUCAAAACGGGGCUGCUGGUGGACCACCUUCAUCUGUAGGAAGUACACCUAAAACAGAUGAGAGCAGUGCUGAGGAGGCUGAUAGAUCAAGGGAGAGAUCUCAGUAUGCUGUGAAGGCUGUUAGUAAAGCUUCUAAUGUCACACCAAAAGGAAAUUCAAGCAGUGGGAAUAGUGGUUCUAACAACAAAGCUGUUAAAGAAAAUGACAAGGAAAAAGGGAAAGAGAAGGAAAAAGAAAAAAAAGAAAAGACCCCAGCUGCUACUACUACAGAUACGAGGGCACUUGGUAAAGAAAGUAAAGAAAAACCAAAGGAUGAACAGCCAAGUAAGGAUGAAAAGGCAAGAGAGACCAAGGAGAGAACUCCUAAGUCUGACAAAGAGAAGGAAAAGUUCAAGAAGGAAGAAAAAGAUAAGGAUGAGAAAUUUAAGGUCCUCAUCCCCAAUGUAGAAUCCAAGUCUUCUCAAGAAAGGGACAAAGAAAAAGAGCCACCCAGAGAAAGAGAUGUAACAAAAGAAAUGAAGUCAAAAGAAAAUGUUAAAGGAGGAGAUAAAAUGCCAAUUUCUGGGUCCUUGAAGUCACUUGUUCCCCGAUCAGAAAAUGCAGAGCCUGAAAGGGAACAGAAACGCCGCAAAGUUGAUAACCAUCCUCCUUCACAUUCCUCCUUGAUAAAGGACAGUCUCAUCAAACUCAAGGAGUCUUCAGCAAAGCUCUACCUUAACCAUACUCCUCCACCACUGUGCAAGAGUAAGGAGAGAGAAACGGACAAAAAAGAUUUGGACAAGUCAAGGGAAAGAUCUAAAGAAAAAGAGAAAAAAGAUGAAAAAGAUAGGAAAGAGCGGAAAAGGGAUCAUUCAAAUAAUGACCGUGAAAUGCCACUAGACUUGCCCAAAAGACGGAAAGAGGAAAAUGGAGCAGCUGGGUUUCCAAAACACAAGAGUGAAAGUCCUUGUGAGUCUUAUCCAGGUGAGAAAGACAAGGAGAAAAGUAAGUCGAAAUCCUCAGGCAAAGAAAAAGGUAGUGAUUCAUUGAAAUCUGAGAAGAUGGAGAAAAUUUCCACUGGCAAAAAGGAAUCUGGACAUGAUAAAGAAAAAAUAGAGAAAAAAGAGAAAUGGGAUAGUUCUGGUGAAAAGGAGGAGAAGAAGCACCACAAGUCCUCGGACAAGCACAGAUAAUGAAGACUCAAAAACCAAGGGUAUGGACAGGCCUCUAUAAACUGAAGUUCUCUAGCAGAGAAUGCCUAAGAUCUGCAGGGCACUCAGAAUGAUCUCUCAUGACUAAGAACUUCAGGUGCUGUCCAUUUUACAGUAAUCUGCUUUAAAUCAGAAGAUGAUUAUAUACACUACCAUGCUCUUGAGACAUUCCAAAGUCAAUAGUUUUUAGAACAUUAUUUUCACCUCCAGGCAGUUUCUUGCUGCAAGUUCCUUGUGCACAUAGUUUUUACAUGAGAUUUGCCACCCAGGAAUGACAUCUACUGAAAUUUCACCAACUGAGUUUUAAUUCAUCCUACUUUCUCAGAAAGUUCCUGGAGUACCUAAGCCAUCCUUUAUUGUGGCACCUUUUCCACUAUGUUACUUCGUCUCACACCAUUGAUAAGAGACACUUGUACAGCUCCUUCUCAUGCCAGACCCUGUUCAAAGGUGUGUAAUCACAGAACACCCCUAAGCAAGCCUCAGUGAUUCUCCAGUCUCUGCACCCCAUGGACCUAGGUUACAGAAGUACAAGACCAUGGCCAGCUUUUUACAUGGAUUCUGGGGCAUCAAACUUGGUAGUCUCCAGCCCAAGAGACGUUCAUGUGAGAAAAUGGACAUUGCCGUCAUAUGGGAGGUCCAGGGCUAACAUUAAAGUCUUGGACAGCCUUUCUUAUUUUGAUGUCUCUGUGUUUGGGUUGGAUCAUGCAAAAUAAUGAACUCAUCUGUGUCUAAAAUAUUCAAGAAAAGCUGUACUGAUGUAGAUUUAAGUAUCCACAAAGUACAACCAAGAUGGAGACCAGCAACUGACUGAACAUGAUUAUCAGAUGAAGAGGGAAGACUUGGAGAAAGCACAGCCUGAUGAGAGGAGUGGACAGACUGUGUGGAGCACUCCCAUCAGCAGCAUUGUGUUCGAGAUCCAAAUAAUGACCUCAGAGCUAACCAUCCUUGAGCUAAACUGAAGAGAUGUAGCGGACAGGGAGGCUGCAGUAGCAGUGGCCAAGGAUAAGACUGGGUGUUGACAGUGAGAUGCACAGGGAACAAGGAACAGCUGACCCAGGAAGACUUGGAAGCACAUGGGUACACACAACAGUGAUAAGCAUCAUAGCAGAAGCCAGCAUUGUUCCUCCUCCCAGUCUACAGAGGGCCUGGAAGGUGGAGAUGGAGGUGGGAUGCUGAUGUCCAUGUGUAAUUCUCCACAUGUGCUAGUGUGUGUGCACGCUACUGAGAGUCACUGUCCCAACUUGCUAUGACAAGUAGUUACUUAUGUGCCUGAAUACCAUAUGACACUGGUCUUUGUGACCAGUUAGUAAUUUUCUUGCACUUUAUUUUAUAUAAACAACCCAUUGAUGAAAGGUUUUUUUUUAAACUUUUUUCAUGUAUCACAAUGUAAAUACUGAGUUAAGGUUGGAGGGGGGUGGCUCUAUAAAGAAUAUUGAGAAGUGUGCCCAGGUGACAAUGAAGUAGCCUUGUAAUGUGAGAACUGCCAGGGAUGUCUGGGUUCAAGUUAAGCCAUAUAAGUCAUAUUGCGAUUUUUAUCCAAUGUGCAAAGGGAAAGUAGGGCAUUUCCCCUCAGAGGCAACUGGUAUGGUAGCUUAAUACAUAGUUUUCUUAUAAGAAAACAGCCUUUGAUUUCAACCACCUUCCUGGGUGAACUUUUCCUGAAAAACAAAAUGGAAAUGAACUCCAAAUCACAGCAUGGGUAUAUGGCCAUUAUACUAGAGUUUGUAUGGAUGGCUGAGGUAGUGUGCUUUUUUGUAGUUUUCUCAUGUCUGUGGGGCUCUGUCACUUAGGUUUUGUAUUAUUUAGCUACAAAAUGGCCUCAGAAAAUCACCAGAGGUCAGUUAUAAGAAAAAAUACUAUGUCUAAUAACAACAUAGAAUUAAAAUAAGCCUUAAAUUGUCACUAAGUUUGAAUUGUUUCCAUAAUUUGUUUAGUGUCAAGAUUUUUCCACUUAUUAUCUUUUCCAUAUGUUUCAACCUAAUUUGAAACUGAAUUUAGUAUUAGAAGUUACCUAGUGGGACAAACUUAGUACAAUUUUUAGUAUUCACUGAAAGUUUUAAUGAAUCAAAUGUGUUCAUUUUAAGCAAGAUUUUAAGGGAGCUUUUUACAUUCAUAUGAAAUUCAAUAUACAAUAAAGUUCAGUUUAAUUAAAAGCAGGCUUAUUUGGUUUAAAGUCCAUCCAUUAUCAGAAGGCAUCAGCCCUAAUAGUUUGCAGUAAUGGGGUUGUUUUAUUAGGAGAAGCUCGUAACAACUUUAUGUGAUAAAAUCUUUCUCAAUUAAAAAAAAUGUUUUAAACAUAUUGAGAACUACUAGUAUAAGGAAGAUACAGUUCAGUGCUGGUGAUUUAUUGUCACUUGGAGAACCAGUAAAAGACAACUCUGCUUUUAAUGUAGUCUCUUAAGUUCUCAAUUUGUUGGCUUAAUUGUUAGAAUGUGACAGUAUAUCAGCAGUAAAAGUAUGAACAGACAGGCCUUUCUAAGUCAGCUUCUAGCAAAGUGAGCCUUGUUGGUUUUACCACACUUCCCAUGUGGCUUUGUCUUAGUCCUUUCCUUUGAGUGUAUUAGUGAAGCUCAUUCAUCCUCUGUACUCAAGCCUGUAUACAAGGCAUGUUGGGUUUAUAUGUUCAUGUUGUUUCCAUAGGUAUGUUCUGACCAUGUGCUGUAUAUGUCCAUUAAGGUCAUGAGAAAGGUUUUGAUGAUACAUAUAUUUAUACUGUUUCAUAACACCUGUAAAUCUUUUUACACGAGUCCUUCAUAUUUUUUUCUUUUAUACUUAUGAAAAUUCAGUCCUAAUUUUAUCCUUAUCAUCUUCCUGUCUGUAUUGCUAUAAUUAGGAUGUUAAUUAUAAGUCUUCCCUUCAAAAUCAAGUUUCAUAAUUGUGUAAUACCAAACACUUUACUUAAUAAAGAUGGAAGAGUUAUCUAU
This is an RNA transcript of Jaculus jaculus (lesser Egyptian jerboa), 8223 nucleotides long. It is a transcript of the gene named THO complex subunit 2-like, with no coding region annotated. Lineage: Eukaryota; Metazoa; Chordata; Mammalia; Rodentia; Dipodidae. The record is from RefSeq and is marked validated. The transcript has 8 exons.